This is a long non-coding RNA of Cynara cardunculus var. scolymus (artichoke), 374 nucleotides long. RefSeq lists it as uncharacterized. The record is from RefSeq and is a predicted model, not a curated record. Lineage: Eukaryota; Viridiplantae; Streptophyta; Magnoliopsida; Asterales; Asteraceae. The transcript has 2 exons.
CUGCCAAUGGAAAGAUCAAAGAAGAAAAAGCUUGAACAAGCCUUCGAUUCGAGUGGAUCAACAUUUCGGUUGUGACAGAAGAUAGGGUCUUGGUGCCUUUAAGGUUGGGAUGUUGUUCAUCAUAAAGGAGGGAAAGUUUGGUUAGAGCAUAUGGAUUGUUUAUUACAAUUGCAGACGCUAUUGGAGCAACAAUCGCAUAGCCUUGUCUUUUCACUUUGAUAUGUUAAUCUUUUAACACUUGUGAGUUUUAGCAAGUGUAGAAUUUUUUUAUUACAUAACUUCAAGCUCAUAUACCUGUUUUUGAAUUGUAGAUUGUGCAUGACGAAGAUUGAUAUCUCUCGUUUGUAGGACACAAUAAGAUUUUUUGUAUUUGC